Pelobates cultripes (western spadefoot toad) is the source of this 243-nucleotide non-coding RNA. The record is from the annotation of a GenBank genome assembly. NCBI's taxonomy places the organism in Eukaryota, Metazoa, Chordata, Amphibia, Anura, Pelobatidae.
CACCAAGAUAUGUUUAGUUGACAACUGACUCUAUAAGAGAUGUAAAAAAUCUCUCCAGUUCAGCCAACUUGCUGUUUUCUUUAAAUCCAGGUAAAUGCAAAUACAAAUCAGUUCACAUGUCACUGUUUAGUGAUUAAACCCAUUAGUGAUAUUUCAUUCAGAUGAAAUGAAUACCCCAGAGCUGGAACAUAAAGGCUCCAAUCCCCAAACAUGACCAUUUUGUUAAUGAAACUAUGCCCAUUU